CGCUGACGAGCGGCGGACGGGUGAGUAAUGUAUGGGGAUCUGCCCGAUAGAGGGGGAUAACUACUGGAAACGGUAGCUAAUACCGCAUAAUCUCUCAGGAGCAAAGCAGGGGAACUUCGGUCCUUGCACUAUCGGAUGAACCCAUAUGGGAUUAGCUAGUUGGUGAGGUAAUGGCUCACCAAGGCGACGAUCCCUAGCUGGUCUGAGAGGAUGAUCAGCCACACUGGGACUGAGACACGGCCCAGACUCCUACGG
RNAcentral lists this ribosomal RNA (255 nucleotides) under Providencia rettgeri. Its description in RNAcentral is "partial 16S ribosomal RNA". It matches the Rfam family "Bacterial small subunit ribosomal RNA", at positions 86 to 344 of the family's 1533-position model. The record is from RNAcentral. Lineage: Bacteria; Pseudomonadati; Pseudomonadota; Gammaproteobacteria; Enterobacterales; Morganellaceae.